AAUAUUCACAAUGGUCGACAGCAUUCACCAGCCAUGUCGGUUGAAGGAGGACGCCCUUGUGGUUUGUAAAUUUUUGAUCAUGGGAAGAAAAGCAGGUAAUGCGUAAUCUAUGGUGGUUCCAUCAGAAUAAGGAUCGGCUAAUUUCGUUCCAGCAGCCCCGGUAAAAUACGGAUCCAAGCGUUAUUCGGAAUUAUUGGGUUUAAAGGGUGCGUAGGCGGUUAUAUAAGUCAGAAGUGAAAUCCCCAAGCUCAACUUCGGAAAUGCAUUCAAAACUGUAGAGCUAGAGUACAUAAGAGGCAGGGGGAAUGCAUUGUGGGCGGGGGAAAUCGUUAGAUUUUUGACAGAACUCCGAUAGGGAAGGCAGCUCGCCAGACUGCACCUGACGUUUAGUCAGGAAAGCGUGGGGAGCAACAGACAUUGAUUCCCGGCAGUCACACCCUU
Molecule: ribosomal RNA, 441 nt
Filed under: uncultured marine bacterium
Lineage: Bacteria
Description: bacterial SSU rRNA
Rfam family: Bacterial small subunit ribosomal RNA
Source: RNAcentral